GCCAUACUAUGUUGAAUAGACCAGUUGUCAUUCAAACAACGAAGUUAAGCAGUAUCGAGCGCGGUCAGUAGUUGGAUGGGUGACCGCCUGGAA
This is a non-coding RNA of Eumeta japonica, 93 nucleotides long. The record is from the annotation of a GenBank genome assembly. NCBI's taxonomy places the organism in Eukaryota, Metazoa, Arthropoda, Insecta, Lepidoptera, Psychidae.